UACGGAGGGUGCAAGCGUUAUCCGGAUUCACUGGGUUUAAAGGGUGCGUAGGUGGGCAAGUAAGUCAGUGGUGAAAUCUCCGGGCUUAACCCGGAAACUGCCAUUGAUACUAUUUGUCUUGAAUACUGUGGAGGUCAGCGGAAUAUGUCAUGUAGCGGUGAAAUGCUUAGAUAUGACAUAGAACACCGAUAGCGAAGGCAGCUUGCUACACAAUAAUUGACACUGAGGCACGAAAGCGUGGGGAUCAAACAGG
This 253-nucleotide ribosomal RNA is filed under the name uncultured bacterium. Its description in RNAcentral is "partial 16S ribosomal RNA". It matches the Rfam family "Bacterial small subunit ribosomal RNA", at positions 524 to 776 of the family's 1533-position model. The record is from RNAcentral.